AGUGCGAAUGCUGACAUGAGUAACGAUAAUGUGGGUGAAAAGCCCACACGCCGGAAGUCCCAGGUUUCCUGCACGACGUUAAUCGGAGCAGGGUGAGUCGGCCCCUAAGGCGAGGCUGAAGAGCGUAGUCGAUGGGAACCAGGUUAAUAUUCCUGGACUUUUUAUAAGUGGUGAAGUGGGGACGAAGAAGGCUAGGUGAGCCAGGCGUUGGUUGUCCUGGUACUUGCAUGUAGGGGGGAAGACUUGGCAAAUCCGGUUUUCCAUAACUCUGAGGUGCGAAGUGGUUCUGACCUUUUGGUACAGAGAAGUCAUUGAUGCCCGGCUUCCAGGAAAAGCUGCUAGCCAUAACUUAUAGAGAACCGUACCGCAAACCGACACAGGUGGACAGGUAGAGAAUACUAAGGCGCUUGAGAGAACUCGGGUGAAGGAACUAGGCAAAAUGGUACCGUAACUUCGGGAGAAGGUACGCCCUUUCUGGUGAUGGGAUUUACUUUCAGAGCUGGAGAGGGCCGCAGAGACCAGGUGGCUGCGACUGUUUAUUAAAAACACAGCACUCUGCAAAUUCGUAAGAAGACGUAUAGGGUGUGACGCCUGCCCGGUGCCGGAAGGUUAAUUGAUGGGGUUAUCUUCGGAGAAGCUCUUGAUCGAAGCCCCGGUAAACGGCGGCCGUAACUAUAACGGUCCUAAGGUAGCGAAAUUCCUUGUCGGGUAAGUUCCGACCUGCACGAAUGGCGUAACGAUGGCCACACUGUCUCCACCCGAGACUCAGUGAAAUUGAAAUCGCUGUGAAGAUGCAGUGUACCCGCGGCUAGACGGAAAGACCCCGUGAACCUUUACUAUAGUUUUGCACUGGACUUUGAUGAUGACUGUGUAGGAUAGGUGGGAGGCUGUGAAGUGAGGACGCUAGUUCUCAUGGAGCCGCCCUUGAAAUACCACCCUGUUGUUAUUGAGGUUCUAACUUGGUCCAGUAAUCCUGGAUGAGGACAGUGUAUGAUGGGUAGUUUGACUGGGGCGGUCUCCUCCCAAAGAGUAACGGAGGAGCACAAAGGUACCCUCGGUACGGUCGGACAUCGUACCAAGAGUGUAAAGGCAAAAGGGUGCUUGACUGCGAGAGUGACGGCUCGAGCAGGAACGAAAGUUGGUCUUAGUGAUCCGGUGGUUCUGAAUGGAAGGGCCAUCGCUCAACGGAUAAAAGGUACUCCGGGGAUAACAGGCUGAUACCGCCCAAGAGUUCAUAUCGACGGCGGUGUUUGGCACCUCGAUGUCGGCUCAUCACAUCCUGGGGCUGAAGCAGGUCCCAAGGGUAUGGCUGUUCGCCAUUUAAAGUGGUACGCGAGCUGGGUUUAGAACGUCGUGAGACAGUUCGGUCCCUAUCUGCCGUGGGCGUAGGAAAAUUGAGAGGAGCUGCUCCUAGUACGAGAGGACCGGAGUGGACGAACCUCUGGUGCACCGGUUGUCACGCCAGUGGCAUGGCCGGGUAGCUAAGUUCGGACGGGAUAACCGCUGAAAGCAUCUAAGCGGGAAGCCUCCCUCAAGAUGAGUUUUCCCAUGAAGCCCGUUGAAGACUACGACGUUGAUAGGCAAGGUGUGGAAGCGCAGUAAUGCGUGAAGCUAACUUGUACUAAUUGGCUGAUUGUCUUGACCAUAUAAUCUGAG
Molecule: ribosomal RNA, 1656 nt
Filed under: Legionella pneumophila
Lineage: Bacteria; Pseudomonadati; Pseudomonadota; Gammaproteobacteria; Legionellales; Legionellaceae
Description: partial 23S ribosomal RNA
Rfam family: Bacterial large subunit ribosomal RNA
Source: RNAcentral